Molecule: small RNA, 92 nt
Filed under: Prochlorococcus marinus str. MIT 9211
Lineage: Bacteria; Bacillati; Cyanobacteriota; Cyanophyceae; Synechococcales; Prochlorococcaceae
Description: ATPC.2008-01-16 RNA
Source: RNAcentral
GCCAGAACUUUUUCUUGUUCUGUCAAAGUCACUGCAAGCAGGUCUGAAAUCUUUCUGACCUGUCCUAAUGAACUUUGAGAUUUACCCUCGCA